ACGAAGGGUGCGAGCGUUGUUCGGAAUUACUGGGCGUAAAGCGCACGUAGGCGGAUUCGUAAGUUAGAUGUGAAAGCCCCAGGCUUAACCUGGGAAUUGCAUUUAAAACUGCGAACCUUGAAUGCUUGAGAGGAUGACGGAAUUCCUGGUGUAGAAGUGAAAUUCGUAGAUAUCAGGAGGAACACCGGAGGCGAAGGCGGUUGUCUGGCGAUGCAUUGACGCUGAGGUGCGAAAGCGCGGGGAGCAAACAGGA
Molecule: ribosomal RNA, 253 nt
Filed under: uncultured prokaryote
Description: partial 16S ribosomal RNA
Rfam family: Bacterial small subunit ribosomal RNA
Source: RNAcentral